UACAGAGGUGGCAAGCGUUGUUCGGAAUUACUGGGCGUAAAGGGCGCGUAGGCGGCCAUCUAAGUCAGACGUGAAAUCCCCCGGCUUAACCUGGGAACUGCGUCUGAUACUGGACGGCUCGAGUAUGGGAGAGGGAUGUAGAAUUCCAGGUGUAGCGGUGAAAUGCGUAGAUAUCUGGAGGAAUACCGGUGGCGAAGGCGGCAUCCUGGACCAUUUACUGACGCUGAGGCGCGAAAGCUAGGGGAGCAAACGGG
RNAcentral lists this ribosomal RNA (254 nucleotides) under uncultured bacterium. RNAcentral's name for it is "partial 16S ribosomal RNA". It matches the Rfam family "Bacterial small subunit ribosomal RNA", at positions 524 to 776 of the family's 1533-position model. The record is from RNAcentral.